Molecule: ribosomal RNA, 520 nt
Filed under: uncultured Glomus
Lineage: Eukaryota; Fungi; Glomeromycota; Glomeromycetes; Glomerales; Glomeraceae
Description: partial 18S ribosomal RNA
Source: RNAcentral
CGUAAGGCGCCGAAUGAGUCAUUAAAAAAAUUAACAUCAUCCGAUCCCUAGUCGGCAUAGUUUAUGGUUAAGACUACGACGGUAUCUGAUCGUCUUCGAUCCCCUAACUUUCGUUCUUGAUUAAUGAAAACAUCCUUGGCAAAUGCUUUCACAGUAGUUAGUCUUCAAUAAAUCCAAGAAUUUCACCUCUGACAAUUGAAUACUAAUGCCCCCAACUAUCCCUAUUAAUCAUUACGUCAAUCCUAGAAACCAACAAAAUAGGAUCGAACGUCCUAUUUCAUUAUUCCAUGCUAAUGUAUUCAAGCGUUAGCCUGCUUUAAACACUCUAAUUUUUCAAAGUAACAGUCCAGAUUCCCUGCAACACCAAAUUAAUGGCAUUACAGCUCAUCAGGAAGGAGGAAUCAGUGAGACCAGUACGUACCGGUGGCACGACCAACCUACUGACCCCGAAAUUCAACUACGAGCUUUUUAACUGCAACAACUUUAAUAUACGCUAUUGGAGCUGGAAUUACCGCGGCUG